CUAUGUAAAAUCCCUGGUCCUAAAUAUGUGAUAGCGAAUGGCUACUCUAGUGUUUGGGUGUGUAUAUCCUAUCUCUUAAUUAUUGGAGCAUAAAAUCAGCAGAAUCAAAUCUAAUUGUGAAGAUGAGUUUGACCAGGAGAUAUAUUUUCUUACAUUUCUGUACUUCGGGUUUGGAUUUUUCUCUUCCAAAACGAAAACAGCCGCAACUUAUUUUUAGAAUCCCUAACUACUGUAAGAGAGAGUUGGAAGAAGGAAGGGAUCGAUACAAAGACGAACGGUAAAACAUUUUUGAAGGAUUUAUACUUCCUGCGAAUCAGGAGACCGUGACCAUGGAACAACCUAGCUUGUAGAUUGUGUUUCAGUUCUGAAAACCUACUUCGUCAUUAUUGCAAGGUGUUCAAUUAGCUAAAUGUUUUAUUAUUUUUCUUUAACACCAGACUUUUAUUGCUUUUAAAUAAAUUCUUCAUUUACUUUGGGACCGACUUGCGUCGAGGAUUAAUUUCAUUUUAAAAGUUUUACAAAACUUCACAUUA
This is a long non-coding RNA of Papaver somniferum (opium poppy), 533 nucleotides long. RefSeq lists it as uncharacterized. The transcript is spliced from 2 exons. The record is from RefSeq and is a predicted model, not a curated record. NCBI's taxonomy places the organism in Eukaryota, Viridiplantae, Streptophyta, Magnoliopsida, Ranunculales, Papaveraceae.